RNAcentral lists this transfer RNA (90 nucleotides) under Pseudobdellovibrionaceae bacterium. RNAcentral describes it as "Bdellovibrionaceae bacterium tRNA-Ser". It matches the Rfam family "tRNA". From Rfam's summary of the family: Transfer RNA (tRNA) molecules are approximately 80 nucleotides in length. Their secondary structure includes four short double-helical elements and three loops (D, anti-codon, and T loops). Further hydrogen bonds mediate the characteristic L-shaped molecular structure. tRNAs have two regions of fundamental functional importance: the anti-codon, which is responsible for specific mRNA codon recognition, and the 3' end, to which the tRNAs corresponding amino acid is attached (by aminoacyl-tRNA synthetases). tRNAs cope with the degeneracy of the genetic code in two manners: having more than one tRNA (with a specific anti-codon) for a particular amino acid; and 'wobble' base-pairing, i.e. permitting non-standard base-pairing at the 3rd anti-codon position. The record is from RNAcentral. Lineage: Bacteria; Pseudomonadati; Bdellovibrionota; Bdellovibrionia; Bdellovibrionales; Pseudobdellovibrionaceae. RNAcentral also lists the same sequence under 1 other name.
GGAGAGGUGGGUGAGUGGUUGAAACCGCACGCCUGGAACGCGUGUAGGCCUUAACCGGUCUCGAGAGUUCGAAUCUCUCCCUCUCCGCCA